This 1756-nucleotide long non-coding RNA is filed under the name Homo sapiens (human). Its description in RNAcentral is "HSALNT0028624". Lineage: Eukaryota; Metazoa; Chordata; Mammalia; Primates; Hominidae. The record is from RNAcentral.
UGAAGGCCCUGUUCCCCGGAUAACUUGCUGUGCAGGAGGAGCACCUCUCCCUCCCUGGCUCACUUUCCUUUCUCUCUCCUCAGCUCUCCGCAUUUGUUUUUCACAUUCUCCAAAGUAUUAUACUUUCUUCCUUUUUCAUACACCUUUGAUAUUUCUAUUUCAUCUCGGCCCUGAUACAUCCAGGUUUUUAGCUAAAAGUUUCUGUGUGCAUGUGUGUGUUUUAUUUCAUCAAGCAGAAUUUAGUCUAUGGUUUGUGUAUUUCAGAAGCUCUGUGUUUCAGCUUCUCUUCCCCUGGUACACUGAGCUCCUGCCCCAAGCUCAGGCCGCCUGUGCAUGACAGGUAUGAGGCCAGCAUUCUGUGAUUCACCUGGAAAACACAAGUCCCCACUUCUUCCUCAUUUCUGUGCCUCUCUGGAGGGAACCCUGGCAGCCCUUGCCUCAGUUUCUGGGACAAUCCAGGCAGCUCUCCAUCACUGGAGAACACCAGAUGGAAUGGAUGGAGGCAAUUUUUCAGAAAGUACUUUAAGAGCGGCUUCCUCAGUGGUCUUUCCAGCUGGAAGCAGAGCGUCCAGAAAGCACCGCAUUCUCAGCGCUGUUUCAUUGCCUCAAGAGCUACAGAUGGCUUCCCCAAGCACCUGAAGUCGAUGCUGCUUGCCUGGAUGGAAUAAGCUGCAAGCUGCAGAAACUCUUGUCUUUUCACAGUGGAACUCAGACUCCAGUUUCUUUCUGCCUUGAGAGUGAAAGAAAGGAGAAGACACAGAGUAGGAAAGAGCCAGAAGGUGGAGAAAUUAAUGUUUAAUGCUUGAUACUCCCGGGGCCUGGCCAGCUGCUCAAAAAAAGGAAGGAGGUGAUGAAGAGAGAAAGAAAGGAUGGAAGGAAGGAGGAAGUGGACAAUGAGAUCCUGGCUGAUGGAUGUAAUGAAGGCAUGAACUAUACUAGUUGAACAAGGAAAUGAACUUGAACCAAAUUGUGAAGUUCUCUGCAGUGAAAUAUUAAAGAUUAGCAAGCUAAACAGAGAAAAAGAUAACACUCAAGAAACUGCCUAUAUGUAAGAGAUUCCUUUGAGAACUUUCAAAUGGCUCCUUUCUACAAAAGACCUGAGAAUACUUAACCCCCCACCACUAGCACACUCAAAGCUCAAGGCAAAUGCAUUUUCAAGAUUGACAGGGUCUUGGACUCUGAAAGUCUUUGGACCCAAGAAAAAUCGUGUUAUCUAAGAGAGCAGUUAUUCUGACACAGACUGAUAUCAGGUGCCUGUGGCAUGAAACACGGAAGAGAAUAAUAGCAUCUACCUUAUAAGAAGACAUACUAUAUUCUGGACCACAUAUCUGAUAAUUCUUACAGCCCUUUAAAGAUAAUCAUAACUAGAAUAUUAUCUUAUUUUGUAGCUCAUAGAUGUCAAAAGACUAGCUCAUAAUUUUAUUGCGGAUACAUAGCAGAACCAAGAUUUGAACUCAGACCUGUCUCAUUCCACAACUCAUUUUCCUUGAAGUCAAUAGAUGCCACUGAUCUCUAAAUACCUACAAAAGGGGCUCGGAGGUGGAGAGGGGAUGUCUGAGGAGCCUUAGGACUACCACCCAAUGUUCUGUCUUUAGAUAGAGAUGCUAUCACCAAUCUCUCUUUCACACAUACUCCUCCUCUUCUCAUUUCUGUUCGUGUACUUGGUUCUCAGUGUAAGAUUUUGUUAGAAGAAAGAGGCAUGUUGGUAAAAUAAGAAAUAAUAUAUCAAAAAUAAAAUAAAAUUGUUUGAAAGUCU